GGGGGCAACCCCCGGUAGCGUGGCAGACGGGUGAGUAACACGUGGGUAACCUACCCGGAGGUGGGGGAUAACCCUUCGAAAGGAGGGCUAAUACCGCAUGACACCGUGGGGACCUCGGUCCUCGCGAUCAAAGCUGGCCUCUGUUUACAAGCUAGCGCCACCGGAUGGGCCCGCGCCCCAUUAGCUAGUUGGUGAGGUAACGGCUCACCAAGGCGACGAUGGGUAGCCGGCCUGAGAGGGCGAUCGGCCACACUGGAACUGCGACACGGUCCAGACUCCUACGGGAGGCAGCAGUGAGGAAUAUUGCGCAAUGGGCGAAAGCCUGACGCAGCGACGCCGCGUGGAGGAUGAAGGUCUUCGGAUUGUAAACUCCUGUCGAGUGGGACGAAUGCCGUGAGGGUGAAUACCCCUCGCGGUUGGCGGUACCGCUGGAGGAAGCCCCGGCUAACUCCGUGCCAGCAGCCGCGGUAAUACGGAGGGGGCAAGCGUUGUUCGGAAUCAUUGGGCGUAAAGGGCGUGUAGGCGGUCGAUCAAGUCGGAGGUGAAAUCCCUCGGCUCAACUGAGGAAUUGCCUUCGAUACUGUUCGGCUUGAGUCCUGGAGAGGGUAGCGGAAUUCCCGGUGUAGCGGUGAAAUGCGUAG
This 641-nucleotide ribosomal RNA is filed under the name uncultured Acidobacteriota bacterium. RNAcentral's name for it is "bacterial SSU rRNA". It matches the Rfam family "Bacterial small subunit ribosomal RNA", at positions 75 to 693 of the family's 1533-position model. Lineage: Bacteria; Pseudomonadati; Acidobacteriota. The record is from RNAcentral.